This 1454-nucleotide ribosomal RNA is filed under the name marine metagenome. Its description in RNAcentral is "bacterial SSU rRNA". It matches the Rfam family "Archaeal small subunit ribosomal RNA". The record is from RNAcentral.
ACCUUGGUAACUGAGGCUAAUACCGGAUAGAGGAAAUAUACUGCGAUGUUUUUUCCUCCAAAGCUUCGGCACUUAAGGAUAGGUCGGCGGCGGAUUAGGUUGUUGGCGGGGUAAUGGCCCACCAAGCCGAAGAUCCGUAGGGGCCUUGAAAGAGGUAGCCCCGAGAAGGACACUGAGAUACUGGUCCUAGCCCUACGGGGUGCAGCAGUCGCGCAACCUUGUCAAUGCACGCAAGUGUGAACAGGGGAUCCAGAGUGCUCAUGUUCUACAUGGGCUUUUGCCAAGAGUUAAUAUCUUGGCGAAUAAGCGGUGGGUAAGACUGGUGCCAGCAGCCGCGGUAACACCAGCGCCGCGAGUGGGAAUCGUAUAUUUGGCCUAAAGCGUCCGUAGCCGGUUUGGCAAAUCUUCUGUGAAAUUGGGCAGCUCAACUGUCCAGCGCGCAGGAGACACUACCAGACUUGGAACCGGGAGGGGUACAGAGUAUUCCAGGGGAAGCGGUAAAAUGCUAUAAUCCCUGGAGGACUACCUAUGGCGAAGGCACUGUACCAGAACGGAUUCGACGGUGAGGGACGAAAGCCAGGGGAGCGAUCCGGAUUAGAUAUCAAAAAUCUCGGAUUUUUGAUUUUAGUCAAAAAUCAUCUUUCUUCGUUCGCGAAACACUACUGAAGAUGGUUGCGAGGCUAAAAUCGGAGUCAAUCCGAAAUCGGGAUUUUUGACUAAUUACCCGAGUAGUCCUGGCCGUAAACGCUGCGAGCUAGGUGUUGCGCAUUCCACGUGAAUGCGCAGUAUCGAAGCGAAGGUGUUAAGCUCGCCGCCUGGGAAGUAUGGUCGCAAGGCUGAAACUUAAAGGAAUUGGCGGGGGAGCACUACAAUGGGGGUGCGGCGUGCGGUUUAAUCUAAUUCAACGCAGAGAACCUCACUAGGAGCGACGGCAGAAUGAAGGCCAGGCUGAAGACCUUGCUAGACAAGCCGAGAGGUGGUGCAUGGCCGUCGUCAGCUCGUGCUGUAAGGUGUCCUGUUAAGUCAGGCAACGAGCAAGAUCUGUACCCAUAAUUGCCAGCGUGUUCAUUGAAUGAACGGGCACAUUAUGGGGACUGCCCUGGAAACAGGGAGGAAGGUGCAGGCUACGGUAGGUCUGUAUGCCCCGAAUCUCCUAGGCUACACGCGCGCAACAAUGGCAGGAACAAUGGGCCACGACCCCGAAAGGGGAAGUUAAUCCUCGAAAUCCUGCCUUAGUUUAGAUUGAGGAUUGGAACUCAUCCUCAUGACAACGGAAUCCCUAGUAAUCGGACGUUAGCAUCGUCCGGUGAAUAUGUCCCUGCUCCUUGCACACACCGCCCGUCAAACCACUCGAGCAGGGUUUGGGUGAGGUCUGCCUUCUUAGGCAGCACGAAUCUAAACUCAGUGAGAUGGGUUAAGUCGUCACAAGGUAGCCGUAGGGGAACCUGCGGCUG